ACGCUCGACACCUACGGGAAGCAGCAGUAGGGAAUCUUCCACAAUGGACGCAAGUCUGAUGGAGCAACGCCGCGUGAGUGAAGAAGGUCUUCGGAUCGUAAAACUCUGUUGUUAGAGAAGAACACGAGUGAGAGUAACUGUUCAUUCGAUGACGGUAUCUAACCAGCAAGUCACGGCUAACUACGUGCCAGCAGCCGCGGUAAUCUGAGCGGGCUGGCAAGGC
RNAcentral lists this ribosomal RNA (223 nucleotides) under uncultured bacterium. RNAcentral describes it as "partial 16S ribosomal RNA". It matches the Rfam family "Bacterial small subunit ribosomal RNA", at positions 326 to 539 of the family's 1533-position model. The record is from RNAcentral.